AAUGAACGCUGGCGGCAUGCCUAACACAUGCAAGUCGAACGAGACCUUCGGGUCUAGUGGCGCACGGGUGCGUAACGCGUGGGAAUCUGCCCUUGGGUUCGGAAUAACAGUUAGAAAUGACUGCUAAUACCGAAUGAUGUCGUAAGACCAAAGAUUCAUCGCCCAGGGAUGAGCCCGCGUAGGAUUAGCUAGUUGGUGUGGUAAAAGCGCACCAAGGCGACGACCUUAGCUGGUCUGAGAGGAUGAUCAGCCACACUGGGACUGAGACACGGCCCAGACUCCUACGGGAGGCAGCAGUGGGGAAUAUUGGACAAUGGGCGGAAAGCCUGACGCAGCGACGCCGCGUGAGUGAUGAAGGCC
This 360-nucleotide ribosomal RNA is filed under the name uncultured bacterium. Its description in RNAcentral is "bacterial SSU rRNA". It matches the Rfam family "Bacterial small subunit ribosomal RNA", at positions 29 to 416 of the family's 1533-position model. The record is from RNAcentral.